UAAUACGAAGGUGGCAAGCGUUGUUCGGAUUCACUGGGCGUACAGGGAGCGUAGGCGGUUGGGUAAGCCCUCCGUGAAAUCUCCGGGCCUAACCCGGAAAGUGCAGAGGGGACUGCUUGGCUAGAGGAUGGGAGAGGAGCGCGGAAUUCCCGGUGUAGCGGUGAAAUGCGUAGAGAUCGGGAGGAAGGCCGGUGGCGAAGGCGGCGCUCUGGAACAUUUCUGACGCUGAGGCUCGAAAGCGUGGGGAGCAAACAGGAUUAGAUACCCUGGUAGUCCACGCCUUAAACUAUGGAUACUAAGUGUCGGCGGGUUACCGCCGGUGCCGCAGCUAACGCAGUAAGUAUCCCGCCUGGGAAGUACGGCCGCAAGGUUGAAACUUAAAUGAAUUGACGG
This 393-nucleotide ribosomal RNA is filed under the name uncultured nitrite-oxidizing bacterium. Its description in RNAcentral is "bacterial SSU rRNA". It matches the Rfam family "Bacterial small subunit ribosomal RNA", at positions 521 to 916 of the family's 1533-position model. The record is from RNAcentral.